UAAGCCAUGCGAGUCAACAUAGCAAUAUGUGGCAUACGGCUCAGUAACACGUAGUCAACAUGCCCAGGGGACGUGGAUAACCUCGGGAAACUGAGGAUAAACCGCGAUAGGUCAUCACUUCUGGAAUGGGUAAUGACUUAAAUCUAUAUGGCCCCUGGAUUGGACUGCGGCCGAUCAGGCUGUUGGUGAGGUAAUGGCCCACCAAACCUGUAACCGGUACGGGCUCUGAGAGGAGGAGCCCGGAGAUGGGCACUGAGACAAGGGCCCAGGCCCUAUGGGGCGCAGCAGGCGCGAAACCUCUGCAAUAGGCGAAAGCUUGACAGGGUUACUCUGAGUGAUUUCCGUUAAGGAGAUCUUUUGGCACCUCUAAAAAUGGUGCAGAAUAAGGGGUGGGCAAGCCUGGUGUCAGCCGCCGCGGUAAUACCAGCACCCCGAGUGGUCGGGACGUUUAUUGGGCCUAAAGCAUCCGUAGCCGGUUCUACAAGUCUUCCGUUAAAUCCACCUGCUUAACAGAUGGGCUGCGGAAGAUACUAUAGAGCUAGGAGGCGGGAGAGGCAAGCGGUACUCGAUGGGUAGGGGUAAAAUCCGUUGAUCCAUUGAAGACCACCAGUGGCGAAGGCGGCUUGCCAGAACGCGCUCGACGGUGAGGGAUGAAAGCUGGGGGAGCAAACCGGAUUA
This 678-nucleotide ribosomal RNA is filed under the name uncultured archaeon. RNAcentral describes it as "bacterial SSU rRNA". It matches the Rfam family "Archaeal small subunit ribosomal RNA", at positions 45 to 731 of the family's 1478-position model. The record is from RNAcentral.